This 496-nucleotide ribosomal RNA is filed under the name uncultured bacterium. Its description in RNAcentral is "partial 16S ribosomal RNA". It matches the Rfam family "Bacterial small subunit ribosomal RNA", at positions 28 to 506 of the family's 1533-position model. The record is from RNAcentral.
GACGAACGCUGGCGGCGUGCCUAAUACAUGCAAGUUGAGCGAUGAAGAUUGGUGCUUGCACCAAUUUGAAGAGCAGCGAACGGGUGAGUAACGCGUGGGGAAUCUGCCUUUGAGCGGGGGACAACAUUUGGAAACGAAUGCUAAUACCGCAUAACAACUUUAAACAUAAGUUUUAAGUUUGAAAGAUGCAAUUGCAUCACUCAAAGAUGAUCCCGCGUUGUAUUAGCUAGUUGGUGAGGUAAAGGCUCACCAAGGCGAUGAUACAUAGCCGACCUGAGAGGGUGAUCGGCCACAUUGGGACUGAGAUACGGCCCAAACUCCUACGGGAGGCAGCAGUAGGGAAUCUUCGGCAAUGGACGAAAGUCUGACCGAGCAACGCCGCGUGAGUGAAGAAGGUUUUCGGAUCGUAAAACUCUGUUGGUAGAGAAGAACGUUGGUGAGAGUGGAAAGCUCAUCAAGUGACGGUAACUACCCAGAAAGGGACGGCUAACUACGU